This is a non-coding RNA of Musa acuminata subsp. malaccensis (wild Malaysian banana), 5082 nucleotides long. NCBI's taxonomy places the organism in Eukaryota, Viridiplantae, Streptophyta, Magnoliopsida, Zingiberales, Musaceae. The record is from RefSeq and is a predicted model, not a curated record.
CGUCAAGUUCCCGAAAUGCCACUUACUUGAAGAUCGAUGUCAAGAGGAGUUUCUCCACCUAAUCCCGUCGAUGUCCAAGUUAGUAAUCUGAGGUGACAAUGGAAGAGGUAGCCCACAACUGUCUGUUUUGGACUUAUGUCCACAUGGGUAGACAAAGGGGAGGCAAGUCCUAUCCUUGAGGUUGAUUGGGCUAUCACAUCGAUAGCCAUGUAUCGAAUGGUCAUUGGUCCAAAUACUUGCCCUACCAUUUGUCCCCUCUGAAGGCAUGCUUCGGAAGCUCCUUGGAGAGGGUCUUAAAGCGCAACAUUUGCCCCAUCUAACACGUUGAUUUUACGCCCCUUCAUCACCUUUCCGAGGGGUGUCAGGGUGCCCGAUGUCCAUGCCUCAAGCAAUGAAGGGGUUUGGGAACUUGACCUCCUCGCCUCUGGAAACGAGGGGUGUCGGGGCGCCCGACCUUCAUGCCUCAGGCAACGAUGGGGGUCGGGGUGCUUGACUUCAAGCCUCGAGCAACUAAGGGGGUCGGGUAUCUUGUCUUGCGCACCUCGAGCAAGCAGCGAGGGGGGCCAUAUUUCCUAACUUGCACGUUGUGGGCUGGUAGCGAGGAGGGUCGGGAUAGGUGAGUGUGGUAAUGUAUGGUAAAAAGUGAUCCCUCCCCCCUCCCUGGUAAUUAUGCUAUAAGCGAGCUUUUGUAUCUAGUACCAAAGGGGUAGAAUAUUCUAUGGAAUAUUUCACAAGAAGACGAGACUUAAUCGCGUCUAACAACCUCUAUUUAUCUUUUUGUCGUUGUAGGUGACAAGGAAGGAGGCAACCCAUAAUUGUUUGUUGUGGACUCACGUCCACGUGGGUAGACAAAGAGGAAGCAAGCCUUAUCCUAGAGACAAACUGGGUUGCCCCAUUGAUAGCCACGUGUCAGAUGGCCAUUGGUCCAAAUAUUUUAUCCAUCACUCCCUAAGAAUAAUGGGCAAUUAGGCUUGCCCACUAUCAUAUGUUAAUGCAUUGGGAGAAAACAACGAUCUCUUAAAUUACUGGUUCAUUGGUUAUACCAUUUCAUAUAGACCAACAUCAUAUUAAGGAAACAAUACAUGGGAUGAAAAUUGAACUUCAUUAUUGUUAAUAUUUACAUGAAAAUAAAUUUUCUAUCCCUUCAAUUAUUAUGAUAUACAUGAACAAACAUCCUUUUCUAUAUAAGAUUUUUAUGAGCCCACAUGUAAGCUACUACUCCAACCAUGAGCUCAUAGUCGAAUCCAUGGGAUGUCAUUAGACAUCAUGUGUUGGCGAGGCCUCUAGGAUCGUAGUCGAUGCAGUGAAGGUGUUAUCGAACAUCAAGAAGGCAUCGACCUUUUCCAGGGUCGUGAAAAAGACAUCAUCAGUGCAGUACAUCUGAUCACUGCCAAGCUUGACUGACAACAACGACAAAGCCCAUAAUGCUUCGAGCUCUUCCACAAUAAUCACAAGCUCACCUCCACCAACGUAUAUUGAAGAUGGUGAGGCAAGGUGGCUUCAUUUAAUGUAAUAGAGUCAUCGAAGGAAAGACAAGUCUUUGGGGGUGUCACAAUAGGAGCCAACAUGGGAUCUUGCACCACCGCGUUGGGAGCUUGGUAGAUAUUGGACCACUAAUUCGAAUCCCCAACUUACCAUAUUUGCUGCUGUUGCUUCUAUCCUCCGCUGGAUUCUAUGACAAGUACAACCAAGUAUUUGAAUCCACAGCAUGGCUUCUUUGACGAUCAUGCUUUACUAUUGAGAGAAUAGAAGAUUUGUCUCUCUCUCUCUCUCUUUAGCUCAACAAAGCUACCACAGGUUAUUGUCUCUAUGGUGGCCUUCGUGAACGUGGAUUCAUCUCCGACUCAUUUGUGUCGGGACUGUUUGAAGCUGCCACUGAAGAUGGCCUAUUGCGAGCUCUUCUUGACGUGACAGAGAACUUGUCUCUUGAAGCUGUGGGAUACGGAAGAACACAUCGUACAUUGUCCACUCGGAGUUCUUUCGCUAGCCGUUGUUGAAGGAUAAGCACCUCUUUUGCCCCACCAUGAUCUUGUGCUCGUCGACAAUGGACUUGACGAGUUCUUGCAAGAAUUGUUAUUGGCCUUUCGAUCCACAUGUUAGUUGUCAUUGUUCUUGAGCUUCCGCUUCACAAAGAAAUAGCCCUCCUACUGAUCGUUGUCGAGAAGAUUCCAAAGCUCAAUGUUGUAGAUGUUGGCGAAGUCAAUAGCGCGAACAGAGGUGUCCAUCAACAACCUAGUUGCUGAGGUAGUCAACCACUAGCUCCUCCGCAGACGAAAGGAACAUAUAGCCUCUUGGAACAAGGUCGACAUGCUCCAUGGAUGACUCAAGUUAGUUUUAGGAGAGGAGAGAGGAGACGAACCCAUCUUUGUCACACCCGCCAAAUUAACAUAUUCAAGAGGCAUGAACCUAUCUUAAAUCAAGAAUAUUAUGAUUCAUCCACAUUUCAAAUUUCAAGAUCCAAACUAAUAUUUGAGGACACUGAAAAAACAUUCAAACAUUAUUCACAUCUAUAAAGCUUGUGCAAUUUAUAAUCAUAUACUACAUCACUCGAUAAUUCACAUAACCCAAAGUCAACUUAACAAAAGAUUAACCACACUUACAAAUCUAGAAAGAAAAAGGAGAAGAAAUGGUUUCUUGAAGAUAAGAGGAGUGGAGAUGAGGAAGGAGCAAGGGGAAGGGGAAAGACUUGGGUGGGGUUUCAAUAUUAUGGUUUGACCAUAUGUACUCUAAAGGAAGGACCCAUGCUGCUAAAACCUCAUAGUCUUUCCUCUUCUCCCUUCUCCUUCCUUAUCUUCUCUCCUCUUCAAGAAAUCAUCUCUUCUCCCUUUUCCCUCGUCAUCUCCGCUCUCCUCUCCUUUUGAGGAAACCAAAGCUCGUCGCCCUCGUUUCAAGAGGCUACAGGUUCCGUCUACGAAGGAGCUGGUGGUUGACUACCUCGGCAACUGGGUCACUGACAAACCCCUCCUUGACCAUGUUGUCACCUUCGAAAAUGUCUAUGACAUCAAGCCAUGGAAUAUUCUCGACAACGAUCGGCAAGAGGGUUAUUUCUUUGCGAAGCGCAAGCCCAAGAACAGUGGUGACUUGUGUGUGGAUCAAAAGGUCAACGACAGUUCUUGCAAGACAACAAGAUCGUGGUGGGGCAAAAAAGCUACCUAUAUUUCAACGACAAUCAACUGAAGAACUCUUGAGUGGACAAUGUAUGAGUAUAAGAUGUGUUAUUUCACAUCCCAUGGUUUCGAGAGACGAGUUCUCGGUCACGUCAAGAAGAGCUCGCAAUAGGUCAUCUAUGGCAGCAACUCCAAAUACUCCCCAUCGCAAAAGGGUCAGAGAUGAAUCCAAGUUCAUGGAAGCCGCCAUAGAGAGUCAUCGGCGGUUGCUUCGUUGCGCUAAAGAGAAAGAGAGUUGAAUCUUCUACUCUCUAAGCAGCAAGGCAUGAAUCGUCAAAGACGCCAUGCUGGGGAUUCAAAUAUUUGGUUGCACAUAUCAUUGAUUCCAGCGGAGUAUUACAGCAACAACAACAAAUAUACAAGCUAGGGAUUCGAAUCAAUGUUUUGACAUCUACCAAGCUCCCACCACGUUGGUGCAAGAUAAUACAAGAGUCUAAGCAUAAGCAUAGGACAUGACACUAACGUAAACAUUAUUACACCACGCAAUACAGGAGUCUAAGCAUAAGCAUAAAUUGAUCCAACUGAGGAGGUGUCAUCUUCCCAACUGGAUGCCAUCGGGACUAUCUGCAUAUGUUGAUGUGACGCCGGUCGAUGGACCCAAUCGUAAAGUUAAGUCAUGCGUCGGAUCUUCAUUCUCGGAUUGCAACUGAUGAUUGAGUUCUUACUACAUGCUUGCAUGUCUCUUUCCUUGAUUUGAGAGAGAAAGUCUCUCAUAGAGGGGAGUGAGGGACUCCAUCAAUGGUAUGAUUGAACACAAAAAUGGGCUAAAAUAUUGAGCAAUCAUUUUUUGUCCUUUUAACCUAGAGAUUGGAACAUUGUAGGGAUGGACAAAAAUGUUGAUCAAUCAUCCUUCAUCUUGACUUGAAUUGAACUCCUUGUAGUUGUUGGCCAAGCUUAGGAUGACGGAUUCCAUAUCUUUUAGCCUACAAGAUGAUGAAGGCAAGCCCCUAAAAGAGACGAGGAUAAAUUGUGGUCGCCACACGAAUGUAAAGGAUAUUUUCUUCUGAAUGUAAAGAAUUGAAGAGAGAAAAACAGAUAUCGUGUUCCUCCGCUCGGCAGCAAUGCUGAUCACACGUUGUGCACAAAGGAUCACAAUUAUGCUCAUCGGCUACCAUUGACUUGAUCAUGUAGCCAUGACAACGAAAAACAAAUUUUCUUCUCCCAGUCAGCAAUAACCUCUCUGUUGUCAAUAAUGCUAUCCCUAGCAAAAUAAAUCUAUAGCCCUAUGUAUACAGUUUCUUGAAUCAUUCAAGGAAAGUGGUUGCUCCUUGGACUUGGCAUAUCCAUCCUUUCCUUGGACUUGGCAGCUUCUAAUACUAGGCCAUAGCUUGCAAUGCUUGUACUCGUACGUUCGACUUGCUUGCAUGAAGCAGCUCCCCUGCAUUAGCUAAGUUUGAAGGCACUAGUGUGUUGACUUGGCACCAUCCGAGAAUUCUUGUAAAUCUCCUUUGUUCGAUCUUUUAAAUGUACUAUUGUUUAAAGUAGCUAAGCCUUUCUCAAUGACAAGGUUUUUUUGGUUUAGCAUGCCUGUGGUCACGUGUUUAAAUCUAAGAAGACGCUGGUUGGUAGGUAAGUGUUUUUGCCUUUAUAUUACACUUCCCCUGUCGAUAGCAACAUGGAAAAUGCGGAGGAGGACCUCUGGGCCUCCCUCUCCCCCUCUCCUUUGGUGCAACGGGGGUGGUGCCUCGCUCUCCUCGUGAACCGCAGUGUCAUCAUCUGCAUUGUCUGUCUAGCCCUAAGUGAGGGCAUAACUUAAUUAAAUUGGCCAUCCAUCAUAGCAAUGGGGUGUCUUCCUCUUUCUCCUUGGAUACAAGGAAAGAACAUAAUUGCUAGGAGCUAUUGGCAGUCACCAAAAUUAGAAGAGGCCUUUUGCAAACUUAUUCGAAUUGGCAGUAUACAUAUUUCCUUAUUCGAA